RNAcentral lists this ribosomal RNA (1160 nucleotides) under Escherichia coli. Its description in RNAcentral is "partial 23S ribosomal RNA". It matches the Rfam family "Bacterial large subunit ribosomal RNA", at positions 614 to 1776 of the family's 2925-position model. Lineage: Bacteria; Pseudomonadati; Pseudomonadota; Gammaproteobacteria; Enterobacterales; Enterobacteriaceae. The record is from RNAcentral.
AAUGGGUCAGCGACUUAUAUUCUGUAGCAAGGUUAACCGAAUAGGGGAGCCGAAGGGAAACCGAGUCUUAACUGGGCGUUAAGUUGCAGGGUAUAGACCCGAAACCCGGUGAUCUAGCCAUGGGCAGGUUGAAGGUUGGGUAACACUAACUGGAGGACCGAACCGACUAAUGUUGAAAAAUUAGCGGAUGACUUGUGGCUGGGGGUGAAAGGCCAAUCAAACCGGGAGAUAGCUGGUUCUCCCCGAAAGCUAUUUAGGUAGCGCCUCGUGAAUUCAUCUCCGGGGGUAGAGCACUGUUUCGGCAAGGGGGUCAUCCCGACUUACCAACCCGAUGCAAACUGCGAAUACCGGAGAAUGUUAUCACGGGAGACACACGGCGGGUGCUAACGUCCGUCGUGAAGAGGGAAACAACCCAGACCGCCAGCUAAGGUCCCAAAGUCAUGGUUAAGUGGGAAACGAUGUGGGAAGGCCCAGACAGCCAGGAUGUUGGCUUAGAAGCAGCCAUCAUUUAAAGAAAGCGUAAUAGCUCACUGGUCGAGUCGGCCUGCGCGGAAGAUGUAACGGGGCUAAACCAUGCACCGAAGCUGCGGCAGCGACACUGUGUGUUGUUGGGUAGGGGAGCGUUCUGUAAGCCUGUGAAGGUGUGCUGUGAGGCAUGCUGGAGGUAUCAGAAGUGCGAAUGCUGACAUAAGUAACGAUAAAGCGGGUGAAAAGCCCGCUCGCCGGAAGACCAAGGGUUCCUGUCCAACGUUAAUCGGGGCAGGGUGAGUCGACCCCUAAGGCGAGGCCGAAAGGCGUAGUCGAUGGGAAACAGGUUAAUAUUCCUGUACUUGGUGUUACUGCGAAGGGGGGACGGAGAAGGCUAUGUUGGCCGGGCGACGGUUGUCCCGGUUUAAGCGUGUAGGCUGGUUUUCCAGGCAAAUCCGGAAAAUCAAGGCUGAGGCGUGAUGACGAGGCACUACGGUGCUGAAGCAACAAAUGCCCUGCUUCCAGGAAAAGCCUCUAAGCAUCAGGUAACAUCAAAUCGUACCCCAAACCGACACAGGUGGUCAGGUAGAGAAUACCAAGGCGCUUGAGAGAACUCGGGUGAAGGAACUAGGCAAAAUGGUGCCGUAACUUCGGGAGAAGGCACGCUGAUAUGUAGGUGAAGUCCCUCGCGG